Andrographis paniculata is the source of this 4464-nucleotide long non-coding RNA. RefSeq lists it as uncharacterized. The record is from RefSeq and is a predicted model, not a curated record. NCBI's taxonomy places the organism in Eukaryota, Viridiplantae, Streptophyta, Magnoliopsida, Lamiales, Acanthaceae. The transcript has 3 exons.
GAUUCCAUUUUUUUUUCUCGUCUAAAUCAAUCGAUUCAUUCUCCGGCAAACCCUAGUUACUCCUACGUCGUUGCCGAUUUCAGGUAGCCCAAUAGCAACAAUAGGACUACAACCCUCUCCGUAGCUGUUCUAGUUUGUUGACGGAUCGGCGGCCUCAAUCUUCUAGACGCAGCGCUCUUCUUAGAAGAAUAGAUUAAAACCUAGGAUCACAGGUUUGAUGUUGAUCAAUUGGAUCCCAUGUAUGGGGAAAGGUGAUUUUUUGACACUUUCCCUUUGUCAUUUAAUCUUUAUUGUUCGGUUAUGUAGUCUAAGAUUGAAACACAAUGAAGGUUUCAAACCCCCAGGAGCACCUCCAAUCCAUUUACCUAUUAUGCUUUAAAUUUGUCUUCUUUGUUUUACAUUUUGAGAAGUCAUAAAGCUGUUGUUGAAUUUUUUUGGAUUUAAGGGCAGCAACUGUAUCUUUCAUCCCCCACCUCUACAAAGAUUGAUGAUGAAUCUCUUCCUGGAUUCCCAAAUAAUGAAUCGACUUUUACCAUUCUACUAGUCUAAUAUUUAAAAUAUUUAACAUUUAGUUUGUCAAAUUAUAUGCACUUGUUUUUUGCGUCCUAAUGAAUCUAGCAACAAUCCUCCAAAGAAGGGACAUGAGGCUGGAAUGAAUUUGAGUCCAAUUUCGUAAUGUAUAUGGGGUGGUCUGCCCUAUGGCAAGAGGAGACAUGGUUUUAGAGGUCUAGGCAUGUUGUUUUAGGAUCAAAUGGGAACAUCUUCUAUGUGCCUAUGAUUUCAAUAGCAUUUUUCUUUUGAUUGGGAACACCUUAUAUGCUCUUGCCUAUGAUUUCUACUCAAUCUAGGUGGUUCUUAUUGGCAUUUUUUUCUUUUUUUGUGGGUAAGAAAUUAGCAUACAAGUUCUUUUUUCCUUAUAUGAUUUAGGAGUCUAAGUGGGUUAAUAUUGUGGAAGUUUUGUUCUACACAUAGGAUUGAGGUUGUAACUAGAGAUUAUUUACAAACCUUCUUUGUACCUACUUAUUUCUGAAUAUUUUAGGCUAAUGAUUGUUUAAGAUUGAGAUCCGCAAAAGUUGUUAAAUGGCGCUAUAUCAUUGUAUGUGUUCCUUUAAUAAUUCGUAUGAAAGCAUCUGCGGGUUUUGUCAGCGCAAGUGCACCUUAUAUGCUCUUGGCUAUGAUUUCAACUCUAUCUAGGUGGUUCUUAUUGGUCUUUUUUUCUUUUUUUCUUUUUUGUGGGUAAGAAAUUAACAUAAAAGUUCUUUUUUCCUAAUGUGGUUUAGGAGUCUAAGUGAGUUAAUGUUAUGGAAAUUUUGUUCUACAUAUAGGAUUGAAGUUAUAAGUAGAGAUUAUUUACUAAACUUCUUUGUACAUACUUAUUUUUGAAUAUUUUAGGCUAAUGACUGUUUAAGAUUGAGAUCCGCAAAAUUUGUUAAUUGGCGCUAUAUCAUUGUAUGCGUUCCUUUAAUAAUUCGUAUGAAAGCAUCUGCGGGUUUUUCCAACGCGAGUGCACUUUGGAUGGUUUGCGAUCUUGCGCUUGCAUGUUGACUUCAAACUAAUUUCCGAGAUCUUAGAAAUUACAUUCAUGUAAAACACGUUACCUGGAUGGAUUAUGGCCUUGGCAUGUCUUGUCUAUCUCUUAUGCUUAUGGCUGAUGUUUGAAGAAACUCAUCACUAGGAGAAGGUAAACUCAGUGCCGCAGCAGGCCAACAACGGUAUGUGAACUAGAAAAGUGCGAGAUACAAGUAUUGAACUAGAAAAGUGCGAGAUACAAGUAUAACUAAAUAAUUUAGUUAGUAUUUAUGCCCAAGUUGCUUGAUGAAUAGUUUCAAGGCGAUAAGCGUAGUGUUGAACAUGUAGUGAGUCGUCUGUGUGUUUUCUUGUCGGUGUUGUGUUUGAUGAAUUUGAAUUUUUUUAUUUGGUCUUUGAAUUUGUCCAAAUUCUGGUUUUUAUUUCAAUGGUUUUACUUGAUUUUGAUGGAAUUUUGGUCAUCCACUUCUGAAUUUAUAGACUUUAACUUGAAAGGGUUUCAUUAGAAUGUUGAUUGUAUUAAAUGUCCACUCCAUGUUUAAUUGCUUCUAUCAUUCAACUUUUGAUUGUUUAUUAGUGGUAAUCAUAAUUGUUAUAUAUAUAUAUAUAUAAUACUAUGUAUAUAGAAUGGAUGGCUAGCAGAUAUUAAUAUUUUAUUUCUUUAUUUUAUUCUAUUUUUUCUCUUUGCACAAGGACAAUCUCCGUGCCAUAUAUUUAUCUAGUGAAUUUGGUUGUUCGGUUACCCUUUUUUUUUAUGUGAUUAUUUCAAUAUUACAUGUACUCUUAUAUUUACUUCAUUCUAAUUCAAAUAAUUCCUAGAAGCCAAGACUACUUAGGUUCAAAGGACCUUAAAGCGUCAUGUGUCUUAUCAUAUUGUGGCUCUUGUGAUUUUGUUGAAUUGUAUGUAUUUAAAUGGAUUAGCCAGAACAACAUAGCAAUUAAUUAAUCAAUUUUAAUUAUCAUUCACAAUACUUUAUAAUUCUAAUGUGAAAAAUAACAUUUUAAUAAACUUAAAUUUAUUGUUACAUAGGCAGAUACAUAAAAAAAAAAAAAAAUAGAACCAUUUUCGAUAUAAAUUUACCAUAUACAGACACAUUUCUUUAAUGGUUUCUAUUUGGAUGCUUACAAUUUUUUAUUUUUAUUCGAUUUGUGCCAAUACAAUUCUCUUUUCUAAAUGGAAUUAUGCCUAUAUUUAAAAAAGUACAUCCAUAUUGUUAGCAUUUAAAAUUGUCUGAAGCAUAAGUAACUCAUAAAAUUUAUUCUUCCAAAGUUUUAUAUCCAAACAACUUGCUAGAUUUUGCAGUAUCAUAGGUCUAUUGUUGAUACAAUAGUUUUUGCGUGUUCGGCACCGAACAUGUAAUUUCUAUCCUUUUUCUCAGCAUGGUUUUGCUUACUGUUUGAUGUUUUGCUUCUAUAUUUCAUAAUCGCACCUGUAUAUGGAUACCUCACAUAACCAUCUUGUAGAUCAAAAUAAUGCCUUGUAAGGUUUGUAUCCCCACCUUUUACUCUUUUUGCAAAAAGCUUCAUUGUAUGCCUAAGAUUCCUUGAAAUUUAUGCAGAUGUCUAUGCAAAUUAUAUUAUGUAACUUUGAUAGUGUGUGAUAUUAUUAUUGACUACCAUUUUCUUCUUGGGAUGUGUAUACUUUGAUAGUGUGUGAUAUUAUUAUUGACUGCCAUUUUCUUCUUGGGAUGUGUAUGUAUCCUAAAAUUCCAUUGAUAAGUCUUCGUUGAUCAGUUAUUUGCUUAAAAUCCUAAGAAGGAUAUUCCUUAGAUGAGGGCUGUCAUGGUUGAAAUUAAAGAUAUCCAUGCUAAAUUGUCUAAUUGGAUGAAUUCUUCCAUUGGAGCAUUAGUACGAGCCUUUGUAAGGAUACAAUUAUCUCUAUAAAUUGUAUGGCAUGUUGUCUGGUGAUGUACUUCAUGCAAUUAAUUGUUUUCAUGCAUUGUAGGGAACUAGCUGUACCAAAAAAUGUCAAGAUUCCAAGGAUUGAGGUUCAUGAACCACUUAUUGUUAGUUUACGCAUGAAUAUGUGACGGGUUUUAAAGUAAUAUCUAAAAUUUGGUAAAUUAGCAUUCUCUUUUGCUUAUACUUUGUUAGUCCAUAAGAAUGUUGUUAAUAGUUGCAAAAACACUUAUGUAGAUUGGGUCUCGUGUUCUUUUGAUCACCCAUGGCUUGAAAAAAUAUGUUGGUGAGGGGUUCAUGCUAUUCGUCCCUGGCCUAGCUGGUUCGCCACUCUUGUGUUCCUUCUCCGUACUUUUUUCAUUGCAUUGACAUCUGCAUACCAUGUAUAUUUGACCCUGGAUUUAUGUCUUGCAUAUUUUCUAUACUGGAUUGAACACUCUGCCGUAUAAUUACAUCUUUUGAGCUUACUAGAUUGAUCAUUUUGCAUAUAAGUAUAUAGAUUUGGCUUGUUUGCAGUUUAUGUAGUCUUAUGUGUAGUUGACACGAUUGUUAUGCCUUAGAAUCUAGUUGGAUUAUUCUCAUUUUAUAGGUUUUAUGAUGAUUUUUGGAGGGAAUAUGAAAAAACAAGUUGUAUGUUAAUUGUCAUAAAAAAGAUGUUACAAAAACUGUUACAAUUGUAUCAUCUUCAGUCUAUAGCAAAAGUUUAUUUUAAUUGACCGGAGGUAUAUUUUUUGUUGCGAAAAGAUGUUACAAAAAUCGUUCCAAAAAAUAUUGUGAAUAUCAGAAAAUUUUUGCACUGGAUCAAUUGUUACGGUUAUGCUUCAUUACAAAUAGAUAUUUAGUUUGAUUUUUAUUUUUGUUUCAAACAAGAAACCGUUAUGAAAAGAAAAUGUAACUGUCAGAAAAUAUUUGCACCGCGUUAUGCUUUGUUACAAAAAGAAUUAUAUUUUUUGUCACGUACAAAACCGUACGCGCAUUGACCAUCAAUCUUUUGUUAUAACAUUUGUUGCGAGACAGACUUUUUGUUACCCGUGUAAA